This 213-nucleotide unclassified non-coding RNA is filed under the name plant metagenome. Its description in RNAcentral is "partial contains small subunit ribosomal RNA, internal transcribed spacer 1, and 5.8S ribosomal RNA". The record is from RNAcentral.
UUUCCGUAGGUGAACCUGCGGAAGGAUCAUUCAUAAUAAGUGUUUUAUGGCACUUUUUUAAAUCCAUAUCCACCUUGUGUGCAAUGUCAGGGUUGAUUUUUCUCUCGAGAGGAUCAACCCCAAACAUCAACUAUAUCUCAACUCUUUGUCUGAAAAAUAUUAUGAAUUAAACAAUUCAAAAUACAACUUUCAACAACGGAUCUCUUGGCUCUC